Molecule: ribosomal RNA, 606 nt
Filed under: Triticum aestivum (bread wheat)
Lineage: Eukaryota; Viridiplantae; Streptophyta; Magnoliopsida; Poales; Poaceae
Description: partial small subunit ribosomal RNA
Source: RNAcentral
AUGGGGCUCAAGCUCCCGGCAGCACUACUGCUCCCCCAGGUGGCCAAGCUAGGCUCCCUCCUCAUUCUCUUCCUUCUCGUGCUGCUGGUGCCUGCCUUCCUCAGGGUCCCCUAUUGCUACCUCCUCUUCAACGCCAUCGUCCUCGCGCUGGGCAUCCAAGCCGGCCUCCUGCGCCGCGGCAGCACCAUGACCUCUUCCGACGCCGACGAAGACCGGCACCGGUCUUCGCGGACUGGUCAGGAUGUCACGCCUGUCAGUAUCGCGGCUUCACCGUUUCAGAGGGCCAGAUCAGUCUAUCCCAACGACCAGACGGCGGUUGCAGAUGAUCAUGCGGUACCUGCCAUUGGAGCAAGUAACAUAGUUGACCUGAAGACCAAGACCAAGAAGGUGGUGCUGACGAUGCUGAUGAAGAAGUGCCCGUCGGCGGCGAGCAUCUUCUUCCUCAGUGCGCUGAACGGUAGCCGAGCCAGCGGAGAGGACAAGGCAUGCGAAGAGCAGCAGGAAGACCGUAAACUCGACGUGGAAAUGACUCGGCAGGAGCUGUUUGCCAACACGGAGAGGUUCAUCGGGGACUUCCACAAGGAGCUCAGGAUGCAGAGACAGUAG